Molecule: long non-coding RNA, 1216 nt
Filed under: Vigna radiata
Lineage: Eukaryota; Viridiplantae; Streptophyta; Magnoliopsida; Fabales; Fabaceae
Description: long non-coding RNA (VRAD_LNC018452)
Source: RNAcentral
CCCUGUGUUUGAUCCUUUGAUAGCCCCUUUGAGCCUAUGCUUUCCCCAUUUCUUUGUUUUGAAGCUUAUACACUAGCCCUAAGUGAAAAACCAUGUUUACCUUAACCUUAGGGAAUUUUGGAGCUUUGGAAUUGUUUUGGGAAUAAGUGUGGUCUUCCGGGGGAUUCAAAUGAGUUGGCUAGAUGGUUCCUCUUCUUGCUUUUGUUUUGUAAUCAGGGUGUAUCUUGUCUCUUGAAAUUUGUGUUCUCAAAAGAAAGAAAAGAAAAGAGACAAGAUGAAAAAAUAAAAGAAAAAAAAAUAUACAGAAAAAUGAAAAAAAAAAGAAGUUUUGUGAAUAAUGGAGUCAAGAAGAGGAUGGAACUAGAGGUUGUGGGUGUUUUUGAAUGUGUUUACACUUGUUCCCCAUUGCUCCUCUGUUCCUUAUGGUUUGUAGCUUCUUAUCCAGAUGUAUCCUCCCUUGUCCUUGGCCCCAUUACAACCAUGAAAAGACCUUUUGAUUUGAACAUGCAUAUGUCUUUGAGUAUUGAUUUUAGAGGCUUGUCAAGUCUAUUUGUGUUUGCUUUCUUGAGUGCAUUGAGUGACAUUGAUUUACCCUAAACACUUGAGAGAAACACUGAUAGUGUGCAUCUGCGAGGUUCUAUUACUUUUGAUUCACCUCUUGAACUGAUUGAUUAUUUUUCCAUGUUCUGAAAUCCUUGGAUGAUUUCUUGAGUAUCUGCUUUCCUUGAUUCUGUGUUGGAUACUGUCUACUACUUUUCCUUGUCCAGAGUUCUUGAGAACUGUAAUUCUGUUUGUCUCUGCCCUUGUUAGUCUUAGUUUUCUGUCUGUUGAUUCUGUGUCUCCUUCCUGAUGUCUUCUGAACAGUUCCCUGAUUUGCGUCAUGAUUUUGCCCAGGAGUGCAAAAGACUAAGUGUGGUCUAUUUUGAUGAGUCGAUAUUUUAUUGAUUUCACUUAGUUUAUUGCACCGAAUUUAAUCAGGGAAUUGUGCUUAAUUGUCCGAUAUUUUCCGUUUUUCCUAAUAGUGCUUAAUUUGACCGAAAAUUCUAAUUUUAAUUAAUUUGAAUUUUCUGAGCUAAUUAUUUGCAUUAUUAUUUGCAGGGAAAAUUUUGGAAAUACUAUUUGGAACAUUUGGAAGUUAAAUGUGGUGCAGCCACUACCCGCUUGAUAUUUAUUUGCCUUGGACACUGAUUUCAUUGCAGUAUAAAUAUUGAAUUUU